CGGGGGGGGCAAGCGUUGUUCGGAAUUACUGGGCGUAAAGGGUGCGUAGGCGGCUUUCUAAGUUGGAUGUGAAAACUCUGGGCUCAACCCAGAGACUGCAUCCAAAACUGGAGAGCUUGGGUUCUGGAGGGGAAAGCGGAAUUCCUGGUGUAGCGGUGAAAUGCGUAGAUAUCAGGAGGAACACCGGUGGCGAAGGCGGCUUUCUGGACAGAUACCGACGCUGAGGCACGAAAGCUAGGGGAGCAAACAGGAUUAGAUACCCUGGUAGUCCUAGCCCUAAACGAUGGAUACUUGCUGUGAGGGGGAUUGAAACCCUUUGUGGCGAAGCUAACGCAUUAAGUAUCCCGCCUGGGGAGUACGGUCGCAAGGCUG
This 372-nucleotide ribosomal RNA is filed under the name uncultured organism. RNAcentral's name for it is "bacterial SSU rRNA". It matches the Rfam family "Bacterial small subunit ribosomal RNA", at positions 526 to 896 of the family's 1533-position model. The record is from RNAcentral.